Molecule: ribosomal RNA, 1776 nt
Filed under: Trachelomonas similis
Lineage: Eukaryota; Euglenozoa; Euglenophyceae; Euglenales; Euglenaceae
Description: LSU rRNA
Rfam family: Bacterial large subunit ribosomal RNA
Source: RNAcentral
GGGGGAUAAGCUUCAUUGUCAAGAGGGAAACAGCCCAGACUACUAUUUAAGGCCCCUAAAUGUUUGCUAAGUGAUAAAGGAUGUAUUAAUACGUAGACAACCAGGAGGUUGGCUUAGAAGCAGCCAUUCCUUUAAAAAGUGCGUAAUAGCUUACUGGUCAAGUGUUUUUGCGCCGAAAAUGAAUGGGACUAAGUAAAUUGCCGAAAUUGUAGGAUAUUUAUAUUUAUCGGUAGGAGAGCGUUCUGUUUGGUGAGAAGUUUAUGAAAAUUAUAAGAUGGACUGAACAGAAGUGAGAAUGUCGGCUUAAGUAACGAAAACAUUGGUGGAAAUCCAUUGCCCUGAAAACCUAAGGUUUCCUUUGCUAGGUUCGUCCACAAAGGGUUAGUCAGGUUCUAAAAUAAUGUUUAAAAACGUAGUUGAUGAUAAACAGGUUAAUAUUCCUGUACCUCAUAUUGGUGUUUGUUCUAUGAGUGACGAAGAAGGAGAGCCUACCCAAAUGUUGGUUAUUUUGGUUUAAUUUACUGAGGUUAUGAUAAUUAUUAUAAAAAAUAGUUAGAGCUGAAGUUUAGAAUGCGUAAUACCCUAAGGGGUUAUAAGUAGUUGUUUUCAUACUUCCUAGAAAAACUCUUGUAGUUAAUAAUAUGAGCCUGUACCGUAAACUGACACAGGUGGGUAGGUAGAGAAUACUAAGGGGCGCGAGAUAACCCUUUUUAAGGAACUCGGCAAAAUGGCUCUGUAACUUCGGGAGAAAGAGUGCCUCUAUUUAUAGAGGUCGCAGCAACCAGAUCCAUGCGACAGUUUAUCAAAAACUCAAGUCUCUGCUAAGUUGUAAAACGAUGUAUAGGGGCUGACGCCUGCCCAGUGCCGGAAGGUUAAAGAAAUUGGUUAGCUUUUGCGAAGCUGGUGACUGAAGCCCCGGUGAACGGCAGCAAUAACUAUAAUUGUUCUAAGGUAGCGAAAUUCCUUGUCAGGUAAGUUCUGACCCGCACGAAAGGCGUAACGAUAUGGAUACUGUCUCAGAAAGGGACUCGGUGAAAUAGAAUUGACUGUGAAGAUGCGGUCUACCUGCACUUGGACAGAAAGACCCUAUGAAGCUUUACUGUAUCUUGAUAUUGAUUUAGAAUUUCUUUUGCGCAGAAUAGGUGGGAGGCUAUGAUACUCUUUUUUGGAAGUUGUGGAGCCUAAAUGUGAGAUACCACUCUUAAGGAAUUUGGAAUCUAAUGGCAUUUUUAUAAGAUGUUUGAAAAUUUCAGGGGGGCAGUUUUACUGGGGCGGUAGCCUCCUAAAAGGUAACGGAGGCGUACAAAGGUUUUUUCAAUUUGGGUGGAAAUCAAAUGUAGAGUGUAAAGAUAUAAAAAAGCUUGACUGUAAGACUUACUAGUCAAACAGAGACGAAAGUCGGUCUUAGUGAUCCGACAGUUGCAAAUGGAAGCGCUGUCGCUAAACGGAUAAAAGUUACUCUAGGGAUAACAGGCUGAUCUCCCCCAAGAGUUCACAUCGACGGGGAGGUUUGGCACCUCGAUGUCGGCUCAUCGCAGCCUGGAGCAGUAGUAUGUUCCAAGGGUUGGGCUGUUCGCCCAUUAAAGCGGUACGUGAGCUGGGUUCAGAACGUCGAGAGACAGUUCGGUCCAUAUCCGGUGUAGGCGUUAGAGUAUUGAAAAUAGCUUUCCUUAGUACGAGAGGACCGGGAAAGUCACACCUCUGUUGUGCCAGUUUUCGUGCCAACGGAAGAUGCUGGGUAGUUAUGUGUGGAGUGGAUAACUGUGAAAAAGCAUA